RNAcentral lists this ribosomal RNA (482 nucleotides) under Anevrina thoracica. RNAcentral's name for it is "eukaryotic LSU rRNA". It matches the Rfam family "Eukaryotic large subunit ribosomal RNA", at positions 283 to 650 of the family's 3401-position model. Lineage: Eukaryota; Metazoa; Arthropoda; Insecta; Diptera; Phoridae. The record is from RNAcentral.
CAGCACUAAGUGGGUGGUAAACUCCAUCUAAAACUAAAUAUAACCAUGAGACCGAUAGCAAACAAGUACCGUGAGGGAAAGUUGAAAAGAACUCUGAAUAGAGAGUUAAAUAGUACGUGAAACUGCAUAGAGGUUAAGCCCGAUGAACCUGAAUAUCCGUUAUAGAAAAUUCAUCAUCAGUACCAUAUUAUUUUCUUAAUAAUAUAUAAUGGUGUGCACUUUUUCUAUUUAAGGACAUUGUAAUCUGUUAAUGUUUAAAUGCGUAUUAUAAGAGCUUUUACAAUAGUUUAUUCAUUUUUUAAUGUAUUUAUAUAUUGAUUGGAAUAAAUGUUUAAGUUUCGAAUAUGCCAUUGACAGAUUUAUUAUAUAUAGUACUUGAAUCCUUGUGAUUCUAUAAUAAUAUGUUUAUCGAUGAUUUAUGUAUUUAUUAUAUGUAUUUAUAUGAUUAACAAUGCGAAAGAUUCAGGAUACCUUCGGGACCC